UACGAGAGGUGCAAGCGUUGUUCGGAGUGACUGGGCGUAAAGCGCACGUAGGUGGGUAUAUAAGUCAGAUGUGAAAUCCCCGGGCUCAACCCUGGAAUGGCAUCUGAAACUGUAUAUCUUGAAUACCUCAGGGGUUGGUGGAAUUCCUGGUGUAGGAGUGAAAUCCGUAGAUAUCAGGAGGAACAUCGGAGGCGAAAGCGGCCGACUGGGAGAGUAUUGACACUAAGGUGCGAAAGCGUGGGGAGCAAACAGG
This 253-nucleotide ribosomal RNA is filed under the name uncultured bacterium. Its description in RNAcentral is "partial 16S ribosomal RNA". It matches the Rfam family "Bacterial small subunit ribosomal RNA", at positions 524 to 776 of the family's 1533-position model. The record is from RNAcentral.